RNAcentral lists this long non-coding RNA (1052 nucleotides) under Gossypium barbadense (sea-island cotton). RNAcentral describes it as "long non-coding RNA (GBAR_LNC009246)". Lineage: Eukaryota; Viridiplantae; Streptophyta; Magnoliopsida; Malvales; Malvaceae. The record is from RNAcentral.
UAGGUCUCUCUAUAUGUGGUUUGGUUCUAGAGUAAGGGUACCUGAACCAACAGAUUCCUCGAUCCUCACCCAUUAUAGGCUCAUUUGAAUCGAGUUCAAUUCAGGAGAAUACAUUUCCCUAUGGCUACAUGGAGAUGAAAAUCUCACGAAACCAUAGGUACGGAUGUAUUCCGAAAGUGAUCCACUAUCCUGCACGGAGGUGAAAACCUCACGAAGGCGUAGUUUCUCACUCCCACUUAAGGGUGUGACCACAACGGUCAUGCAAUGCAAUGCGAGAAGAUAUAUGCAUAAAAACUUGAAACGAUUAAAGAAAAUAGGAAUAAAAUGAUGAAAACAGUACGAAAAACGGGUGAAACUCAAUGAAGUGAUCAUAUAUCAAAACCAAAUUCUCAAUUUCCGAAAAAAGACAAAAGUUAAUCAACUUGUGGCUUGACUCUCUUAUAAAAGUCCCCAGUGGAGUCGCUAAGCUGUCGUAACCAUUUUUUAAAAAAAAACGGGUAUCGACUUGGAGAAAAAAAAACGAAAACAGGAGUCGCCACCAAUCUUUUUAGGUGUGAUCGGAUCACCUUAAGUUAAUCAUUUUAAUAAAAGUUAAGAUUUACUAAAAUGAUAAUUUUUGGUCUACGAAAAUCAAAAAAUGAGUUCGGGAGUCGGUUAUGCACGAGGAAGGAUUAGCACCCUCGAUACGCCCAAAAUUGGUACCUAGUUGAUUGAUUAGUGUCUUAGUGUCGAAAAUUUGAAAACUUGAAAGAAUUUAAAAUACGAUCCCUCUUUGUAAAGAAAAUGCUCAAAUGUUAAGGACCUUCUCGUCUCACAAUAUAAAAUAUCAGAUCCAGUAAGUUAGGACACGACAUCUUGAAUUUUCGAGAGCGAGCUUGCCUUUUAUAUAAAAAUUCAUGUAUUUCAAAAGGUUAUUCAGUUAGUUAAGGUGAACGAGGAAAAUCGAAACCCAGUAAGUUAGGGCACGUUUCCUCGAAUUCCCAAACACCGAAUAUUGCCUUUACUUGCAAAAAUCUUAUUUCGAGGUAACAAAAUGCCAUACCCAGUAAGUU